AUGAGGCGUCGGGAGGUGUGGGGCCGGGAGAACAUUGCUCUGCCUGGUUUCCUAGGCGGAGGCAGGUGUGUUGUCGGCAGAGACCCUCACUCAGGCCAAGUGCGUGAUGUCUCUUCUUCUUCCGCAGACGCCGAGCCCGGCACCCGGGAACCUGUUCCGGACGUGCCGCUCCCAACCAUGACUCCCAGCACCGAGGAGGCUGACCACGACCCCGACCACGACCACGACCACGACCACGACCACGACGCCGAGCCCGGCACCCGGGAACCUGUUCCGGACGUGCCGCUCCCAACCAUGACUCCCAGCACCGAGGCUGACCACGACCAUGACCACGACCACGACGCCGAGCCCGGCACCCGGGAACCUGUUCCGGACGUGCCGCUCCCAACCAUGACUCCCAGCACCGAGGCUGACCACGACCACGACCACGACCACGACCACGACCACGACCACGACGCCGAGCCCGGCACCCGGGAACCUGUUCCGGACGUGCCGCUCCCAACCAUGACUCCCAGCACCGAGGCUGACCACGACCACGACCACGACCACGACCACGGUAGGGGCCCGUGUGCCUUGUGUCCUCUGCCCCUGGGAGCCCGCUGGGCUGCCGGGGCUCCUUGAGCGAGAACGGGCUUUCCUAUUGCCUCCGGGACCGGGAAGGUGUCGCCAUGCGAUUCCUUGUCCCGAAACGCUGGCCUGUGCUCUGGAGCUGCGGGGACGUCCUCGGGGCUCUGCCCGGGAAGGAUGUGCUCCCUGGGGAGAGAGGGGCCGCGGUGCGAGUCAGGCGCUCCGAGACGGGGCCGUGUGUCCUCCCGGGUUCUCUGGUUGGCUGCACGCUGCCUGGGCCUGUCCGCAGGUUGUCCGUUUCUCUGCGUGGUGGUCUGCUAAGCCGUGCGGGAGGGGCGUAGGCUUCCCCGCCCCCCACGUCUGCUCCCGCCAUGACCCCGGGGGUCUGGUGCAGCACGCCCAGCCCGCAUGCCUGGCGUUGCCACGGAGGCUGCGAGUGCAGAAGCCUCAUGGGACCCGGCGUGGAGUGCCCCACUGCCCCUGGUGGCCCAGUGUGCGCAGCGGACUUAGGCGCGGGCACGCUGGGCUCCGCGAGGAUGGUGCUCUGUGCCUCUGCCUCUCCUGAGACGUCCUUGCCUUCCUCUUGGCGUUGGCUGGUCUCCGAGCUCCCGGGACAGCGUCCAGGAGGCGUGGCCGCUGCCUGAGGACAAGUCCUCGAUGUGCCCUCUGACGCUGGCACGAGCGUGUUCUGGACCCGUGCCGUGCCCCCAGGCAGCUGGGGAGUUGUCUGCCUUGUAGUGCGGCGGGCCACCAGGAGAAUCUGACCCAGUGUCCUGGAUGGGCCAGUUCCCAGUCGUGCGCUCGUGGCCCAGACCAGACCCGGGCUGGUGUGUGGAGCCAGCCACGCGGGCCCGUCUGUCCUCCGUGCCCUGAGUGGGCGCAGAUGAGAGAGGGCGCGGUUGCUCCGUCCGCUUUUCUCCCCUCUCGCCCCCACGCGGGGAGCCGUCCAGCGGGGCCUGGCUGGACUGAGCCCGUGCCGGACACGGUGCUCCGUUGCCGUCCUGGAGGGCCCAGAGGAUUGC
This is a long non-coding RNA of Oryctolagus cuniculus (rabbit), 1589 nucleotides long. The record is from Ensembl. NCBI's taxonomy places the organism in Eukaryota, Metazoa, Chordata, Mammalia, Lagomorpha, Leporidae.